AUUUAACCUGAGGACAUCCGCUGAACGAGAGCACGGGCUGGUUUAAUGACAGCUGCUCAGCUCGCAGAGUCAGAGGGAAGACAUUUUGUUUGUGACUGCGGUCGCCCAGACAACCAGAAAAAUGGCUGGUGCAAAAUGAAAAAUGGAUGUCCACUGUCAGAAAUAAAGAGCGAAAUGCCGGCACAAACAAGACGAGCAUCAUUUCUCUGCAUCAGACUGGAAAAGGGGGCUAUCACCGGCAGCGGCCGACACCACCCACACCACCCACACCACCC
Molecule: long non-coding RNA, 275 nt
Organism: Anguilla anguilla (European eel)
Lineage: Eukaryota; Metazoa; Chordata; Actinopteri; Anguilliformes; Anguillidae
Exons: 3
Source: RefSeq, a predicted model, not a curated record